AUGAAACAUGGAUUAACCGUAACUGAUAAAAAUAGAACGUUUAGGUUAUCUUCAAACGAUAAUUACAAAAUAAUAGGAAAUAAAAAAUCCAUUCUUAAUAAUAAACAAUAUAUAAAAACAAAUUAUAAUGACAGUAAUAAGUUAGUACGAAAUGAUAACAUGUUACUAAGUACACUUCGAGUUGUUGAGCAUAUAAGUACAAUGGAUAUAGUAAAACUUUUGUUAGAUAUAGGAUUAAAUAUAAAUGUUAUAAAAAAAAUGAAUAAAAAUGAACAAAUAAAAAAGUUAAAAAAAUUUAUAAUAAAUGGUAAAGUAAAACAUGAAAAUAAAAUUAUAUAUAUUACAAUGAUUAAAAAAAUAAUCUUAGAGCAAUUUAAAAAUUUACACAAUCCAAUUUAUUUAAAAUAUAAUAAUAAUAUUUUAUAUUUGAAUGACAAAAGUAAACUAUUAGAAAAUUUGAAAAAAGGCGGUUCUACUACUGUUUCAAUCAACAAACAAAACAGUAUUAACAAUAAAAUAUAUAGUUUGACUCAUGAAACAAAUAUAGGAACAACAAUGAACCAUUUGCGAGAUAAAAAAAAAAAAGAAGUUGAAAAAAAUCGAGCAAAUUUUAUAAAAAACUUUUUUCAAGAGUCAUCCACAGAUGAGAACAUUUCCUCUUCCUCAUCUUUUUCCUCCUCCUCAUCUUCUUCAGAUGCUUCUGUUUGUUCUGUUUGUUUACGAUCAUCUCAGUCGUCACCAAACAAAAGUUUUACAAUAUGUGAAAAUGAAAAAUGUAAAAAUAGAAAUGAAAAAAACAAUUAUGAAAGGAAAAAUAAUCGUAAAUAUACUGGAAAAGGUAAGGAACGAGAAAAAGAACGAACAUUAUCAGAUGAAGUAGAUGAAGAAGCAGAAGAAAAAAAACAUCUUGAAAUUAUUCGAGAAAUACAAACAAAAGAUUGUAACGUGGGUGACCAUGAAGAUAAUUAUAGGUUAAUUCAUUGUUUAAAAUGGACUCGAAUAUAUAUUAGAAAAAAUGAUAAUACUGUUAAAAUUUUAGAUUUGGAACAGUUGGGAAGUAAUGACGAUAAUACGAAUGUGAAUGGAACUAGUAACAUGAACCUAAUGUAUGUAAAUAAUGAAAAAACAAAAUCGCCGUUUCAAUGUGACAACAGAAUUAAUAGUUAUAGCAGUAUUAGUAACAAAAAUAUUGACAAUACCAAAACAAGUGAAGAUUUAGACCAUGUGAGCGGAAUCAGAAACGGUAAUAAUAUAUUUUUUGAAAAACUGGAAAAAAAAAAAAUGCUUUCAAAAAAUUCUUUUAAAGAGAUUGAAAAAUAUAUUAUUGAUGAAAACAGUCAUAUUGAAAACAUUCAAACUUUGUACAUAUAUGGAGAAAAAAAUAUAAGUACUUUUUUAAAAUGGAAACAUUUUCGACAUAUGUUAAAAAAAUAUUUUACUCUUAUAAAAAAUAAGGAAACCGAAGAAGGGUAUAUUAAUCAAGAAGAGGAAAUGGGAACAAGAAAAACAGAAGAAGAAGCAGAAAUAGAAGAACUGUUAAAGGGAAAGUCAGUAGAUACUAGUUUAUAUAUAGAUAAUGAUAGAGAAGGAGUAAAUACUGGUAGUAACAAUAAUAAUAUAUUGUUCAGUCAUGGUAAAACAAAAAGAAAAAAUAUGAAACAAAAAAGAAGAUUAGGUGCUAAUGCAACACGUGUCAGAAAUAUACAUAAUUUAUUACCAACCAUAGGAUAUGAGAUAAAAAAUUGGGACAUAAAUAAAAAAUUGCCUGAAAAAAAUGAUUUGAAAAAUGAAAAAACGAAAUUAAAAAAUAAACAUGCGCUUAUGCAGGAAAAUGAAAAUAUGAAAAGGAAAAAUAAAAAAAGAAAAAUGUCGGAUAUGUUUAAUAUGGAGCAUAGCAAUAAUAAUACUACAAAUAUAGUGAAUAAAAAGUUUGCAAAUACAAAUUACUCCAUUAAUAUAAAAAAAAAAAAUAAAAAAUUGCAUAUGUUACCCUCAUCAAAACAUAAGAAUGAUAUAUAUGUAUCUAAUAGUAGUUAUUUAUCACAUGGAGCUAUUAAUAAAAAAGGAAGAAGCAGUAAAUUAAAAGAAAAAAAGAAGGGAAGCAGUAAUCAUUUUAAAAAAAAUGUUUCUAAUGAACAAAACGAUGAUGUGUCAAAAAAAAUAGAAGAUUCAGAAAGUGAUUAUAAUAGGGAAGAUAAUAAGGAGGAUGAUAAGGAGGAUGAUAAUGAGGAUGAUAAUGAAUAUGAAGAUGGUGCAUCAAGAACGGAUAAUAAAAACUUAAAUAAUCGAUUAAAAAAAAAAAAUAAAAAUAAAACUGAUAACUCGAAUACAGAGUUUAAAGAUAAUAAUGAAGAAAAUAUACGAAAAAACAAAAAAAAAAAUCAAAGAACAAUAGAAAAUGAAAAACAAGAAAAAAAAAAUAAAAAAAAAAGCAAUAAUGAAAGUGAAAAUAAAAUGAGCCUAAUGGAUAGAGGUAUGAAAAAAACUAGCAGCGUUAUUUCAGAAGGAAGUACUAGCAAUAUGAAUAUAUUACAUAACGAUAGUAACAAUACGGAUGAAAAUAAUCGUAGUAAAAAGUUAAAGAAAGGAAAUACCUAUAAUAACAUAAAAGAAAUCAUUGAAAAUUUUAAUGAAACGUUAUUAACAAUUAUGAAAGAAACUUCAGAGGUUUUAAAUUAUAAGGCGUUUUUAAAUAAGGUAUGUGAAACAUAUGCACCAAUGUAUUAUAGUAUUAUAAAAAAACCAAUGUAUAUAAAUAAAAUAAUUUUUAGAUGUAAAAAAAAAAAUACAAUAAUUUAA
This 2799-nucleotide long non-coding RNA is filed under the name Piliocolobus tephrosceles (Ugandan red Colobus). Its description in RNAcentral is "lncRNA (ENSPTEG00000011028.1)". Lineage: Eukaryota; Metazoa; Chordata; Mammalia; Primates; Cercopithecidae. The record is from RNAcentral.